This 558-nucleotide ribosomal RNA is filed under the name uncultured bacterium. Its description in RNAcentral is "partial 16S ribosomal RNA". It matches the Rfam family "Bacterial small subunit ribosomal RNA", at positions 355 to 906 of the family's 1533-position model. The record is from RNAcentral.
UGGGGAAUUUUGGACAAUGGGCGAAAGCCUGAUCCAGCAAUGCCGCGUGUGUGAAGAAGGCCUUCGGGUUGUAAAGCACUUUUGUCCGGAAAGAAAUCCUUGGCUCUAAUACAGUCGGGGGAUGACGGUACCGGAAGAAUAAGCACCGGCUAACUACGUGCCAGCAGCCGCGGUAAUACGUAGGGUGCAAGCGUUAAUCGGAAUUACUGGGCGUAAAGCGUGCGCAGGCGGUUUGCUAAGACCGAUGUGAAAUCCCCGGGCUCAACCUGGGAACUGCAUUGGUGACUGGCAGGCUAGAGUAUGGCAGAGGGGGGUAGAAUUCCACGUGUAGCAGUGAAAUGCGUAGAGAUCUGGAGGAAUACCGGUGGCGAAGGCGGCCCCCUGGGCCAAUACUGACGCUCAUGCACGAAAGCGUGGGGAGCAAACAGGAUUAGAUACCCUGGUAGUCCACGCCCUAAACGAUGUCAACUAGUUGUUGGGGAUUCAUUUCCUUAGUAACGUAGCUAACGCGUGAAGUUGACCGCCUGGGGAGUACGGUCGCAAGAUUAAAACUCAAAU